GGGGGAUAAAUUAAUUAAAUAUAAAUAAUAAAAAAAAUUUUAAUAUUAAUAAUAUAUGGGGUUAAAGUAUUUUUAAUAGAAAAAAUUUUUAUUUUUAUAGUAAAUUUAUACUGUAAGGGAGUUUUAAAAUAAAUGAAAAAAAAAUUAUUAAAAAGUAAAUUUGAAUUAUUGUAUCUUGUGUAUCAGAGUUUAUUAAUAAAAAUAUUAAAUAAUUAAUUCUCGAAUUUAAAAGAGCUAAUUAAUUAAUAAAUUUAAUGUUGAAAAAUUAUUUUAAAUAAUUAAUUAGAAAUGAAAUGUUAAUCGUUUUUAAAAAUAUCUAGUUUUUUCAGAAAAAAAUUUAAUUUAAAAUAAAAAUAAUUUUAUUAAUUAAUUUAAUAAUUAUAAAAAUUUUUAUUUUAAUAUUUUAGGGGAUAAGCUUUAAAAUAAAUUUUUAUAAUUUAUUAAUAUAUUAAAUUAAAAUUUAUAAAAUUUAUAUUGUUUAUAAAUUAUAAUUUUUUAUAAAAAAUUUUAUUUUAAAUAAAAUUUUAUAUAAAUUUAAAUUUUUAUGAAAAAAUAAUUUUUAAUAAUAAAAAUUUAGAUAUAAUGAUAAAAUUAGUAUAUGAUAUAAAAUAAAAAAAAUUAAUAAGAUAAUAAUUAAGUUAAAGGAAUUCGGCAAAUAUAUAUAUUCACUUGUUUACCAAAAACAUGUCUUUUUGAUAAUAAUUUAAAGUCUAAUCUGCCCACUGAUAAUAAAAUUAAAGGGCUGCAGUAUAUUGACUGUACAAAGGUAGCAUAAUCAUUAGUCUUUUAAUUGAAGACUUGUAUGAAAGAUUUGAUGAAAUAUAAACUGUCUCUAAUUUAUUUAUAAAAUUUAAUUUUUUAGUUAAAAAGCUAAAAUAAAAUUAAAAGACGAGAAGACCCUAUAGAGUUUUAUAUAUUGAUUAAUUAAGAUUAAUUAUAAAAUUAUAUAUUUAAAUUAAUUAAUAUAUUAUGUUGGGGUGAUAAAAAAAUUAAAAUAACUUUUUUUUUAAAAAAAACAUAAAUAAAUGAUUAAUUGAUCCAUUAAUAAUGAUUAUAAGAGAAAAUUACCUUAGGGAUAACAGCGUAAUAUUUUUUUUUAGUACAAAUAAAAAAGAAAGUUUGCGACCUCGAUGUUGGAUUAAGAUAAAAUUUAAAUGCAAAAGUUUAAAAUUUUUGAUCUGUUCGAUCAUUAAAAUCUUACAUGAUCUGAGUUCAAACCGGUGUAAGCCAGGUUGGUUUCUAUCUUUAAUUAAUAAGUAAUAUUUUAGUACGAAAGGAUCAAAUAUUAAAAAUAAUUUUUAAAAUUGAAUAUUAAUAAAUUAAUUAA
Molecule: ribosomal RNA, 1327 nt
Filed under: Cyrestis thyodamas (common map butterfly)
Lineage: Eukaryota; Metazoa; Arthropoda; Insecta; Lepidoptera; Nymphalidae
Description: 16S ribosomal RNA
Source: RNAcentral